GAUCAACGCUGGCGGCGUGCUUAACACAUGCAAGUCGAACGAUGAAGCCCAGCUUGCUGGGUGGAUUAGUGGCGAACGGGUGAGUAACACGUGAGUAACCUGCCCUUAACUCUGGGAUAAGCCUGGGAAACUGGGUCUAAUACCGGAUAGGAGCGUCCACCGCAUGGUGGGUGUUGGAAAGAUUUAUCGGUUUUGGAUGGACUCGCGGCCUAUCAGCUUGUUGGUGAGGUAAUGGCUCACCAAGGCGACGACGGGUAGCCGGCCUGAGAGGGUGACCGGCCACACUGGGACUGAGACACGGCCCAGACUCCUACGGGAGGCAGCAGUGGGGAAUAUUGCACAAUGGGCGCAAGCCUGAUGCAGCGACGCCGCGUGAGGGAUGACGGCCUUCGGGUUGUAAACCUCUUUCAGUAGGGAAGAAGCGAAAGUGACGGUACCUGCAGAAGAAGCACCGGCUAACUACGUG
RNAcentral lists this ribosomal RNA (466 nucleotides) under uncultured bacterium. RNAcentral describes it as "partial 16S ribosomal RNA". It matches the Rfam family "Bacterial small subunit ribosomal RNA", at positions 28 to 507 of the family's 1533-position model. The record is from RNAcentral.